This 468-nucleotide ribosomal RNA is filed under the name uncultured bacterium. Its description in RNAcentral is "partial 16S ribosomal RNA". It matches the Rfam family "Bacterial small subunit ribosomal RNA", at positions 28 to 507 of the family's 1533-position model. The record is from RNAcentral.
GACGAACGCUGGCGGCGUGCUUAACACAUGCAAGUCGAACGGAAAGGCCCUGCUUUUGUGGGGUGCUCGAGUGGCGAACGGGUGAGUAACACGUGAGUAACCUGCCCUUGACUUUGGGAUAACUUCAGGAAACUGGGGCUAAUACCGGAUAGGAGCUCCUGCUGCAUGGUGGGGGUUGGAAAGUUGCGGCGGUUGGGGAUGGACUCGCGGCUUAUCAGCUUGUUGGUGGGGUAGUGGCUUACCAAGGCUUUGACGGGUAGCCGGCCUGAGAGGGUGACCGGACACAUUGGGACUGAGAUACGACACAGACUACUCCGGGCGGCCGCCGUGGGGUCUGUUGCCCCGUGGGCGGAAGCAUGAUGCGGCAACGCCGCGUGCGGGAUGACGGCCUUCGGGUUGUAAACCGAUUUCGCCUGUGACGCGGCGUGCGUGACGGUCCUGGGUGACGAAGCCCCGGCUCCCUCCGUG